This 755-nucleotide long non-coding RNA is filed under the name Androctonus crassicauda. Lineage: Eukaryota; Metazoa; Arthropoda; Arachnida; Scorpiones; Buthidae. The record is from RNAcentral.
AUUAAAUGGCAAUUUACUGUAAUUUCGUGAUUAGUUUAGUGAACUAUAUAGUCUUGCGUAGUGACACAAACAAAUGUCAACUCUCCUAUACACUCAAUACUAACUCAUGAUGUUGUCAACUAUAGUAUAUAUGUAAUAAAUACUUGAGACUAAGAGGAAUGGGAUUUGAUAAUGGCUUAUUAUCUGGUACUUCUGAAUUAGAUAUAAAAAAUAAUCUAAAAAACUAAUCAAAAUAGUCUGUAUAAAUAACACUAAUAUAUAUACAUGAUAAAUACAUUGUCUUUUAAAUUUUGUUCCCACUAGUGUGGAACUAUGGUGGAAAAUACAUGUGUGGCAAAAGCAGUGCAGGGUUGACGUCAUACCUUAGUUUAAAAUCUGCUAUUAUCCUGAACCUAAAUGGAUUCAACUUUUAUGUGCCAGUAAAAUCUGUUGAGGUAAUGCCCAACAAUGAAAUCAAUGCAUUUUGUGACAUUGAAUUGUUGGCAACUUUGAGUCAAGAUGGUGGGACAUUGGAUAGCACAUGGAUGGGAUAGUGUAAUGCUAAUGGAAACAAUUAGGUAAUAUCCAUUUUUAUACAAUAAAAGGAAUGAACAUUAUAAAGACAGUGCAUUAACAGUGCGAUUUCAAUAUUUUCUCUUCUUUGAUUUUGUUUCCUCAUUUACUGCAAUAUAUGAUUGACACCAAAGAUAGAUUGGUUCAAGCACUAGAUGCAGUAACAUACUGUAAAAAAUUAAGCACUUGACGGCAGAUACGAG